UGCGAACUCCUACGGGAGGCAGCAGUGAGGAAUAUUGGUCAAUGGACGGAAGUCUGAACCAGCCAAGUAGCGUGCAGGAUGACGGCCCUCCGGGUUGUAAACUGCUUUAGUUCGGGAAUAACGACGGGGACGUGUCCCUGGAAAGAAUGUACCGAAAGAAUAAGGACCGGCUAAUUCCGUGCCAGCAGCCGCGGUAAUACGGAAGGUCCAGGCGUUAUCCGGAUUUAUUGGGUUUAAAGGGAGCGUAGGCGGACUGUUAAGUCAGCGGUUAAAGAGUGUGGCUCAACCAUACGAUGCCGUUGAAACUGGUGGUCUUGAGUGCACACAGGGAUGCUGGAACUCGUGGUGUAGCGGUGAAAUGCUUAGAUAUCACGAUGAACUCCGAUCGCGAAGGCAGGUGUCCGGGGUGUAACUGACGCUGAGGCUCGAAAGUGUGGGUAUCAAACAGGAUUAGAUACCCUUGUAGUCCUAG
This 472-nucleotide ribosomal RNA is filed under the name uncultured bacterium. RNAcentral's name for it is "bacterial SSU rRNA". It matches the Rfam family "Bacterial small subunit ribosomal RNA", at positions 330 to 799 of the family's 1533-position model. The record is from RNAcentral.